GAUGAACGCUGGCGUCGUGCCUAAUACAUGCAAGUCGAGCGAACGGACGAGAAGCUUGCUUCUCUGAUGUUAGCGGCGGACGGGUGAGUAACACGUGGAUAACCUACCUAUAAGACUGGGAUAACUUCGGGAAACCGGAGCUAAUACCGGAUAAUAUUUUGAACCGCAUGGUUCAAAAGUGAAAGACGGUCUUGCUGUCACUUAUAGAUGGAUCCGCGCUGCAUUAGCUAGUUGGUAAGGUAACGGCUUACCAAGGCAACGAUGCAUAGCCGACCUGAGAGGGUGAUCGGCCACACUGGAACUGAGACACGGUCCAGACUCCUACGGGAGGCAGCAGUAGGGAAUCUUCCGCAAUGGGCGAAAGCCUGACGGAGCAACGCCGCGUGAGUGAUGAAGGUCUUCGGAUCGUAAAACUCUGUUAUUAGGGAAGAACAUAUGUGUAAGUAACUGUGCACAUCUUGACGGUACCUAAUCAGAAAGCCACGACUAACUACGUG
RNAcentral lists this ribosomal RNA (497 nucleotides) under uncultured bacterium. RNAcentral's name for it is "partial 16S ribosomal RNA". It matches the Rfam family "Bacterial small subunit ribosomal RNA", at positions 28 to 507 of the family's 1533-position model. The record is from RNAcentral.